GAAAUGCGAUAAGUAGUGUGAAUUGCAGAAUUCAGUGAAUCAUCGAAUCUUUGAACGCACAUUGCGCCCUUUGGUAUUCCUUAGGGCAUGCCUGUUCGAGCGUCAUCUAAACCUUCAAGCCCUGCUUGGUGUUGGGUGCCUGUCCCGCCUCCGCGCGCGGACUCACCUCAAAUCCAUUGGCGGCCCCCGCGUCGGCCACGAGCGCAGCAGAAACGCGAACUCGUGAGCCCGUCCGGGCGGCUCCCAGAAGCUACACCCACCCAGUUUGACCUCGGAUCUGGUAGGGAUACCCGCUGAACUUAAGC
This 305-nucleotide unclassified non-coding RNA is filed under the name plant metagenome. Its description in RNAcentral is "partial contains 5.8S ribosomal RNA, internal transcribed spacer 2, and large subunit ribosomal RNA". The stretch from base 1 to 105 matches the Rfam family "5.8S ribosomal RNA", at positions 50 to 154 of the family's 154-position model. The record is from RNAcentral.